Molecule: ribosomal RNA, 279 nt
Filed under: uncultured bacterium
Lineage: Bacteria
Description: partial 16S ribosomal RNA
Rfam family: Bacterial small subunit ribosomal RNA
Source: RNAcentral
GUAUAAGAGACAGCAGCAGCCGCGGUAAGACAGAGGGGGCAAGCGUUGCUCGGAAUUACUGGGCGUAAAGGGCGCGUAGGCGGGAUGGCAAGUCGGUCGUGAAAUCCUUCGGCUCAACCGAAGAACGUCGAUCGAUACUGCUGUUCUUGAGGGUUGCAGAGGAGACUGGAAUUCCCGGUGUAGCGGUGAAAUGUGUAGAGAUCGGGAGGAACACCGGUGGCGAAGGCGGGUCUCUGGGCAAUUCCUGACGCUGAGGCGCGAAAGCGUGGGGAGCAAACG